CACGUAGGGUGCGAGCGUUAAUCGGAAUUACUGGGCGUAAAGGGUGCGCAGGCGGCUGUGUAAGACAGGUGUGAAAUCCCCGGGCUUAACCUGGGAACUGCGCUUGUGACUGCACAGCUAGAGUACGGCAGAGGGGGGUGGAAUUCCACGUGUAGCAGUGAAAUGCGUAGAGAUGUGGAGGAACACCGAUGGCGAAGGCAACCCCCUGGGCCGCUACUGACGCUCAGGCACGAAAGCGUGGGUAGCAAACAGG
Molecule: ribosomal RNA, 253 nt
Filed under: uncultured bacterium
Lineage: Bacteria
Description: partial 16S ribosomal RNA
Rfam family: Bacterial small subunit ribosomal RNA
Source: RNAcentral